Molecule: small RNA, 179 nt
Filed under: Planctomycetota bacterium
Lineage: Bacteria; Pseudomonadati; Planctomycetota
Description: 6S RNA
Source: RNAcentral
GGUCUCCUGCCGUGUUCGUGUUAGGAAACAUUUGGAACAACCUAUGAGCCUGCAUUGGGAGCCGAAUUGGAUGGCCGCGGUCACGCCCGCUUAGACGGGAAGGCCAACGCCCUCCAGAGGCACCCCUUUAACAUGCGGGUUGAUUCCAACGUUCCUUACGGCACAAGGGUGGAAGGCCG